GGUUAAGCGACUAAGCGUACACGGUGGAUGCCCUGGCAGUCAGAGGCGAUGAAGGACGUGCUAAUCUGCGAAAAGCGCCGGCGAGGUGAUAUGAACCCUUGA
RNAcentral lists this ribosomal RNA (102 nucleotides) under Enterobacter cloacae. RNAcentral's name for it is "partial 23S ribosomal RNA". It matches the Rfam family "Bacterial large subunit ribosomal RNA", at positions 1 to 102 of the family's 2925-position model. RNAcentral also lists the same sequence under 7 other names. Lineage: Bacteria; Pseudomonadati; Pseudomonadota; Gammaproteobacteria; Enterobacterales; Enterobacteriaceae. The record is from RNAcentral.